RNAcentral lists this ribosomal RNA (637 nucleotides) under uncultured bacterium. RNAcentral's name for it is "bacterial SSU rRNA". It matches the Rfam family "Bacterial small subunit ribosomal RNA", at positions 202 to 842 of the family's 1533-position model. The record is from RNAcentral.
UAAAGAUUCAUCGCUGAUAGAUAGGCAUGCGUUCCAUUAGGCAGUUGGCGGGGUAACGGCCCACCAAACCGACGAUGGAUAGGGGUUCUGAGAGGAAGGUCCCCCACAUUGGUACUGAGACACGGACCAAACUCCUACGGGAGGCAGCAGUGAGGAAUAUUGGUCAAUGGGCGUAAGCCUGAACCAGCCAAGUCGCGUGAGGGAUGAAGGUUCUAUGGAUCGUAAACCUCUUUUAUAAGGGAAUAAAGUGUGGGACGUGUCCUAUUUUGUAUGUACCUUAUGAAUAAGGAUCGGCUAACUCCGUGCCAGCAGCCGCGGUAAUACGGAGGAUCCGAGCGUUAUCCGGAUUUAUUGGGUUUAAAGGGUGCGUAGGCGGCCUUUUAAGUCAGCGGUGAAAGUCUGUGGCUCAACCAUAGAAUUGCCGUUGAAACUGGGGGGCUUGAGUAUGUUUGAGGCAGGCGGAAUGCGUGGUGUAGCGGUGAAAUGCUUAGAUAUCACGCAGAACCCCGAUUGCGAAGGCAGCCUGCCAAGCCAUGACUGACGCUGAUGCACGAAAGCGUGGGGAUCAAGCAGGAUUAGAUACCCUGGUAGUCCACGCAGUAAACGAUGAUCACUAGCUGUUUGCGAUACAGUGUAA